This 1021-nucleotide long non-coding RNA is filed under the name Pongo abelii (Sumatran orangutan). RNAcentral describes it as "lincRNA". The record is from RNAcentral. Lineage: Eukaryota; Metazoa; Chordata; Mammalia; Primates; Hominidae.
AUGGUGGCAGAAGAUCAGCCUAGGCCUAUUAAUCAGUCUAAGUUCCAGCCUGGGCUGAGCGAGUCUCGAGAAAGCCAGCUCAUCUCCUUUUGUGUUGAAGGGCAGGGGAAGGGAACCAAGAUUGAGGAUCAAGGCUGCGCUGCUUCAGUGCCUUCAUGGACAACCAAAUUCCAGUUGCCAGCUUUCUUCGUAGGCAUCUGUUCCUCACAAAAUGGCUUCGGCGGAACAUAACUUUCCAAAAGAAGAGCACUCCAGCCCCUGCCUCUAUGUUCACCUAUCUUUCUGAGUCAGCUUUUCAGCAACAAAUGCCACCAAGCUAGUUAGCUGACAGUACCAACUACAGAAGGAAAUCAUGUUGGAAAUGUCACUGAGGCCAGGCUGCCUCCCCACCUCCACCCACAGCCUCUUUCAUCUCACCAUCCAUUCCUUCCAGAGUGGCAGAAGGAGACUGGGUGGCAAGUGUAUUUAAGAUUCUGAGGAAAAGGCCUGUUAAGUCGACCUUGGUAACUUAACUGAAACAGUAUAUGUGUAAAUCCAUUGAAAAUCCCUGGCCUUUUACAACUUCUGUCCCAAUGGAAAUCAGAUCACAGGACUGUUUACAAGAGACCACGAUUCAUUUGGAUAAAGACCCAUGACAGCACGGCCCAGGAUUAUUUGAAAUUUUAGUAACCUAAGCUUUAAAAAUAUUCUAAAAGCAAAAUAAUGGGGGCAGGUAAUUGCCACAAGCUAAUUACUUAUGAUAUUUCAUAUAUAUAAUCGAAGAACAAUCUCUGUAAAUGUCAACUCAUGGCACUCUGGCAAUCACUUGUAAGUUUUAUUGUUUAAAGAAAUGUCAGCAUUUCCAUUUUCCCUAACUUUAGUUAACCUGGGCCCUCCACUUAGCUAAGUGGCCACCAGAAAAGCACUUUAUGCUGUUAUUUCAUAGCAGAGCAGGUCCUCAGUUUUGCUGUAAUUUUAUUGCUGUAAAAAAAGCAUAAAGUGUGUACAAAAGAAUUUAAAUGUUAAAAUGAAAGAUGAUAGA